Molecule: ribosomal RNA, 431 nt
Filed under: uncultured bacterium
Lineage: Bacteria
Description: partial 16S ribosomal RNA
Rfam family: Bacterial small subunit ribosomal RNA
Source: RNAcentral
AACGAACGCUGGCGGCAUGCCUAACACAUGCAAGUCGAACGAGACCUUCGGGUCUAGUGGCGCACGGGUGCGUAACGCGUGGGAACCUGCCCUUAGGUUCGGAAUAACUCCCCGAAAGGGGUGCUAAUACCGGAUAAUGUCUUCGGACCAAAGAUUUAUCGCCUUUGGAUGGGCCCGCGUUGGAUUAGCUAGUUGGUAGGGUAAAAGCCUACCAAGGCGACGAUCCAUAGCUGGUCUGAGAGGAUGAUCAGCCACACUGGGACUGGGACACGGCCCAGACUCCUACGGGAGGCAGCAGUGGGGAAUAUUGGACAAUGGGCGAAAGCCUGAUCCAGCAAUGCCGCGUGAGUGAUGAAGGCCUGAGGGUUGUAAAGCUCUUUUACCCGGGAUGAUAAUGACAGUACCGGGAGAAUAAGCUCCGGCUAACUCCG